CCCGGGUUCGAGUCCCGGCAACGGAGUUUUUUUUA
This 35-nucleotide small RNA is filed under the name Arabidopsis thaliana (thale cress). RNAcentral describes it as "ATSL223190". The record is from RNAcentral. Lineage: Eukaryota; Viridiplantae; Streptophyta; Magnoliopsida; Brassicales; Brassicaceae.